Molecule: non-coding RNA, 69 nt
Organism: Erinaceus europaeus (western European hedgehog)
Lineage: Eukaryota; Metazoa; Chordata; Mammalia; Eulipotyphla; Erinaceidae
Source: Rfam
CUGUGACAUCUGUCACCCCAUUGAUUGCCAGGGUUGAUUCUGCUGAUCUGGCUGGAUAGGUGGGUAUCC